UGGGGAAUAUUGCACAAUGGGCGCAAGCCUGAUGCAGCCAUGCCGCGUGUAUGAAGAAGGCCUUCGGGUUGUAAAGUACUUUCAGUCGGGAGGAAGGCGUUAAGGUUAAUAACCUUGGCGAUUGACGUUACCCGCAGAAGAAGCACCGGCUAACUCCGUGCCAGCAGCCGCGGUAAUACGGAGGGUGCAAGCGUUAAUCGGAAUUACUGGGCGUAAAGCGCACGCAGGCGGUCUGUCAAGUCGGAUGUGAAAUCCCCGGGCUCAACCUGGGAACUGCAUUCGAAACUGGCAGGCUAGAGUCUUGUAGAGGGGGGUAGAAUUCCAGGUGUAGCGAUGAAAUGCGUAGAGAUCUGGAGGAAUACCGGUGGCGAAGGCGGCCCCCUGGACAAAGACUGACGCUCAGGUGCGAAAGCGUGGGGAGCAAACAGG
Molecule: ribosomal RNA, 429 nt
Filed under: Chloroflexota bacterium
Lineage: Bacteria; Bacillati; Chloroflexota
Description: Chloroflexi bacterium partial 16S ribosomal RNA
Rfam family: Bacterial small subunit ribosomal RNA
Source: RNAcentral